RNAcentral lists this unclassified non-coding RNA (447 nucleotides) under Hevea brasiliensis (rubber tree). Lineage: Eukaryota; Viridiplantae; Streptophyta; Magnoliopsida; Malpighiales; Euphorbiaceae. The record is from RNAcentral.
CGCCAUCGCUUUCUUCCUAUUCACCCCUCCGCCCACCCUCACUGUGUCCAGCGGCAGCAUCACGUACACCGGCACCCCUCGCGGCUUCACUGCCGCCGUCGGGUGCUCCAGCACCGCAGACUCCGGCGCAGCCUCCGGCGGCGCCGCAUCAGCCACCAGCGCCCUGCACGCCGCACUCAGAUCCGGCCGGAUCGCCGGGGAUCGGCAGGGGCUGACGGGCGGCGACAGCACGUCGAGGUCGGGAGGGCCGGAGGCACGGAUCCGGCAGCGGAGCUCCGAGACCGGCGCCGGUAGCGGCCGCCAGGCCUCGCCGGCCGGUGCUGCGCCGGCAGUGUCUCCGAUCGGGGCGCCGCAGAGGGAGCCGAGCUGGUGAGCAAUGUUCAUCUUCAGUGCCAUGAAUUGUGAGUUUUCUCUACUUUAAUUUGUGGGAUUUUGAUUUCGAAUUUG